Molecule: ribosomal RNA, 253 nt
Filed under: uncultured bacterium
Lineage: Bacteria
Also listed under: 1 other name
Description: partial 16S ribosomal RNA
Rfam family: Bacterial small subunit ribosomal RNA
Source: RNAcentral
GACAGAGGUCCCGAGCGUUAGGCGGAAUCACUGGGCUUAAAGCGUGUGUAGGCGGAUUUGUAAGUACCUUGUGAAAUCCCACGGCUCAACCGUGGAACUGCUUGGUAUACUGCUUAUCUUGGGCCAUCUAGGGGCUACCGGAACAAGUGGUGGAGCGGUGAAAUGCGUAGAUAUCACUUGGAACGCCAAUGGUGAAAACAGGUAGCUGGGGAUGUGCCGACGCUGAGACACGAAAGCCAGGGGAGCGAACGGG